UACAAAUGAAUUGACGGGACCCGGCACAAGCAGCGGAGCGUGUGGUUUAAUUCGAUGCUACACGAAGAACCUUACCAGGGUUUGACAUGCAAGUGGGUUAGGAAACUGAAAAGGGACGACCCUUCGGGGAGCUUGCACAGGUGCUGCAUGGCUGUCGUCAGCUCGUGUCGUGAGAUGUUCGGUUAAGUCCGCUAACGAGCGCAACCCUCGCCGUAUGUUACAAGUGUCAUACGGGACUGCCGGUAAAAAGCCGGAGGAAGGUGAGGAUGAUGUCAAGUCAGCAUGACCUUUAUAUCCAGGGCUACACACACGCUACAAUGGUCUGUACAAUUGGUUGCCAAGCCGCGAGGCGGAGCCAAUCCGUAAAGCAGGCCUCAGUUCAGAUUGCAGUCUGCAACUCGACUGCAUGAAGCCGGAGUUGCUAGUAACCGCAGGUCAGCAAUACUGCGGUGAAUACGUUCCCGGGUCUU
RNAcentral lists this ribosomal RNA (470 nucleotides) under uncultured Anaerolineaceae bacterium. RNAcentral describes it as "bacterial SSU rRNA". It matches the Rfam family "Bacterial small subunit ribosomal RNA", at positions 903 to 1382 of the family's 1533-position model. Lineage: Bacteria; Bacillati; Chloroflexota; Anaerolineae; Anaerolineales; Anaerolineaceae. The record is from RNAcentral.